GACGUAGGGUGCAAGCGUUGUCCGGAUUUAUUGGGCGUAAAGAGCUCGUAGGCGGCUUGUUGCGUCGACUGUGAAAACCCGCGGCUUAACCGCGGGCUUGCAGUUGAUACGGGCAGGCUAGAGUUCGGUAGGGGAGACUGGAAUUCCUGGUGUAGCGGUGAAAUGCGCAGAUAUCAGGAGGAACACCGGUGGCGAAGGCGGGUCUCUGGGCCGAUAUCGACGCUGAGGAGCGAAAGCGUGGGGAGCGAACAGG
This 253-nucleotide ribosomal RNA is filed under the name uncultured bacterium. Its description in RNAcentral is "partial 16S ribosomal RNA". It matches the Rfam family "Bacterial small subunit ribosomal RNA", at positions 524 to 776 of the family's 1533-position model. The record is from RNAcentral.